RNAcentral lists this ribosomal RNA (531 nucleotides) under uncultured bacterium. RNAcentral describes it as "bacterial LSU rRNA". It matches the Rfam family "Bacterial large subunit ribosomal RNA", at positions 401 to 929 of the family's 2925-position model. The record is from RNAcentral.
GUGGUUCCUGAGUACAGCGGGACACGAGAAACCCUGCUGGAAUCUACCGGGACCAUCCGGUAAGGCUAAAUACUCGAUUGUGACCGAUAGUGAACUAGUACCGUGAGGGAAAGGUGAAAAGCACCCCUGCGAGGGGAGUGAAAUAGUAACUGAAACCGCAUGCCUACAAGCAGUGGGAGGGCUAUGCCGCAAGGCAGCCUGACCUCGUGCCUAUUGAAUAAUGAGCUGGCUAGUUUUUUCAGUGGCAAGGUUAAGCGUAAGCGAGCCGUAGCGAAAGCGAGUCCUAACUGGGCGUUUUAGUCGCUGGGAAAAGACGCGAAGCGGGAUGAUCUACCCUUGAUCAAGGUGAAGUCAGUGUAACAGCUGAUGGAGGCCUGAACCGGUGUUGGUUGAAAAACAGCUCGGAUGAAUUGAGGUAGGGGUGAAAGGCUAAUCAAAAUUCCGUGAUAGCUCGUUCUCUCCGAAAUAGCUUUAGGGCUAGCCUUGUAUGGACCGUCUUGGUGGUAGAGAUCUGAAUGGACUAGGGGCCUU